RNA transcript from Manis pentadactyla (Chinese pangolin), 1273 nucleotides. It is a transcript of the gene named zinc finger AN1-type containing 2B, with no coding region annotated. The record is from RefSeq and is a predicted model, not a curated record. NCBI's taxonomy places the organism in Eukaryota, Metazoa, Chordata, Mammalia, Pholidota, Manidae. The transcript has 10 exons.
AUGCGCGGGACGGGCCCGCCCUGCGCGAUGACGUCAGCGCGCCUGCGCGAGCCAAGGGAGGAGUGGGAACUAAGGGCCGGGAGGCGCGGAGGCUCCGUAGGCCCCGCCUGACCCGGAGAUGGAGUUUCCGGACCUCGGCGCUCACUGUUCCGAGCCGAGCUGUCAACGUCUGGAUUUUCUGCCGCUUAAGUGCGACGCUUGCUCGGGUAUCUUCUGCGCAGACCAUGUGGCCUAUGCCCAGCAUCACUGUGGAUCUGCUUACCAAAAGGAUAUCCAGGUACCUGUAUGUCCACUCUGUAAUGUGCCUGUACCUGUGGCCAGAGGGGAACCUCCUGACCGCGCUGUCGGGGAGCACAUUGACCGAGACUGUCGCUCAGAUCCAGCACAACAAAAACGUAAGAUCUUCACCAAUAAGUGUGAACGCUCUGGCUGCCGGCAGCGGGAAAUGAUGAAACUGACCUGCGAUCGUUGUGGCCGAAACUUCUGCAUCAAGCACCGUCACCCACUGGACCAUGAUUGCUCUGGGGAGGCGCACUCAAACAGCCGCGCAGGACUUGCUACUGUCUCCAGAGCACAGGGUCUGGCUUCUGCAAGCACUGUUGUCAGCCCAAGUAGGACCUUGCCUUCAUCUACCUCUCCUAGCAGAACCACAACCCAGUCUCCGUCCUGGACAGCCCCUCCAGUAAUUGCUUUGCAGAAUGGCUUGAGUGAGGAUGAGGCUCUGCAACGUGCCCUGGAACUGUCCCUGGCAGAGAACAAACCCCAGGCCCCAAAGUACCUACUUUCUGUUCUCAGGAGGAAGAAGACCUAGCUUUAGCACAAGCACUAUCAGCCAGUGAGGCCGAAUACCGACGGCAGCAGGCCCAAAGCCGCAGCUUGAAGCUGUCCAACUGCAGCCUGUGCUAGGGCCUCAGGCUUGGGGAGAGAGGCUCAGCUGAGAAGGACCGUGGCCCUCACACCCUUAGCUUACACAGGGAGAGGAGGCUGGAAGCAGCCUGGAGUGAAGACACGGAGGACUGACAUGCAAGCCGCCUCCAGAGAGCAUAAGGAGAAGCAGCUUGCAGAGCUGAGCCUACAGAAGGCCCUGCAGCCUCUCCAGCUGUAUGGGAGAGAGCAGCUAGCAACUGUUCCCUGUUGGGCCCUGGGAGGAUGUUGACGAGGCUCAGCUAAGACCCCUGCAUUGUGUCAUCCUUCUUAUACUGGGGCUGCCCUCCUGUGUCGGGGGCAGGAAGGAGCCUGGAAAGAAUAAAGGAUCUUGGCAGUCAAGAAGACA